Molecule: RNA transcript, 1746 nt
Organism: Piliocolobus tephrosceles (Ugandan red Colobus)
Lineage: Eukaryota; Metazoa; Chordata; Mammalia; Primates; Cercopithecidae
Gene name: heterogeneous nuclear ribonucleoproteins A2/B1 pseudogene
Exons: 1
Source: RefSeq, a predicted model, not a curated record
CAGCAGCGCCCGGUCCCGUGCGGAGGUACUCCUAGCGGUGUUGUUUCUCCAGCAGCGGCAGCUCUUCACUACAGCGCCAGGACGAGUCCGGUUGGUGUUCGUCCGUGGAGAUCUCUCUCAUCUCGCUCGGCUGCAGGAAAUCGGGCCGAAGCGACUGAGUCCGCGAUGGAGAAAACUUUAGAAACUGUUCCUUUGGAGAGGAAAAAGAGAGAAAAGGAACAGUUCCGUAAGCUCUUUAUUGGUGGCUUAAGCUUUGAAACCACAGAAGAAAGUUUGAGGAACUAUUAGGAACAAUGGGGAAAGCUUACAGACUGUGUGGUAAUGAGGGAUCCUGCAAGCAAAAGAUCAAGAGGAUUUGGUUUUGUAACUUUCUCAUUCAUGGCUGAGGUUGAUGCUGCCAUGGCUGCAAGACCUCAUUCAAUUGAUGGGAGAGUAGUUGAGCCAAAACGUGUAGUAGGAAGAGAGGAAUCUGGAAAACCAGGGGCAUGUGUAACUGUGAAGAAGCUGUUUGUUGGCAGAAUUAAAGAAGAUACUGAGAAACAUCACCUUAGAGAUUACUUUGAGGAAUAUGGAAAAAUUGAUACUAUUGAGAUAAUUACUGAUAGACAGUCUGGAAAGAAAAGAGGCUUUGGCUUUGUUACUUUUGAUGACCACGAUCCUGUGGAUAAAAUCAUAUUGCAGAAAUACCAUACCAUCAAUGGUCAUAAUGCAGAAUUAAGAAAGGCUUUGUCUAGACAAGAAAUGCAGGAAGUUCAGAGUUCUAAGAGUGGAAGAGGAGGCAACUUCGGCUUCGGGGAUUCACGUGGUGGUGGUGGAAAUUUCGGACCAGGACCAGGAAGUAACUUUAGAAGAGGAUCUGAUGGAUAUGGCAGUGGACGUGGAUUUGGGAAUGGCUAUAAUGGGUAUGGAGGAGGACCUGAAGGUGGCAAUUUUGGAGGUAGCCCCGGUUAUGGAGGAGGAAGAGGAGGAUAUGGUGGUGGAGGACCUGGAUAUGGCAACCAGGGUGGGGGCUACGGAGGUGGUUAUGACAACUACGGAGGAGGAAAUUACGGAAGUGGAAAUUACAAUGAUUUUGGAAAUUAUAACCAGCAACCUUCACACUACGGUCCAAUGAAGAGUGGAAACUUUUGUGGUAGCAGGAACAUGGGGGGACCAUAUGGUGGAGGAAACUAUGGUCCAGGAGGCAGUGGAGGAAGUGGGGGUUAUGGUGGGAGGAGCCGUUACUGAGCUUCUUCCUAUAUGCCAUGGGCUUCACUGUAUAAAUAGGAGAGGAUGAGAGCCCAGAGGUAACAGAACAGCUUCAGCUUAUCGAAAUAACAAUGUUAAGGAAACUCUUAUCUCAGUCAUGCAUAAAUAUGCAGUGAUAUGGCAGAAGACACCAGAGCAGAUGCAGAGAGCCAUUUUGUGAAUGGAUUGGAUUAUUUAAUAACAUUACCUUACUGUGGAGGAAGGAUUGUAAAAAAAAAUGCCUUUGAGACAGUUUCUUAGCUUUUUAAUUGUUGUUUCUUUCUAGUGGUCUUUGUAAGAGUGUAGAAGCAUUCCUUCUUUGAUAAUGUUAAAUUUGUAAGUUUCAGGUGACAUGUGAAACCUUUUUUAAGAUUUUUCUCAAAGUUUUGAAAAGCUAUUAGCCAGGAUCAUGGUGUAAUAAGACAUAACGUUUUUCCUUUAAAAAAUUUAAGUGCGUGUGUAGAGUUAAGAAGCUGUUGUACAUUUAUGAUUUAAUAAAAUAAUUCUAAAGGAAAAAAA